GCAGGCGAAUAGCAGGCGAAUAGCAGGCGAAUAGCAGGCGAAUAGCAGGUCGAAUAGCAGGCGAAUAGCAGGCGAAUAGCAGGCGAAUAGCAGGUCGAAUAGCAGGCGAAUAGCAGGCGAAUAGCAGGCGAAUAGCAGGUCGAAUAGCAGGCGAAUAGCAGGCGAAUAGCAGGCGAAUAGCAGGUCGAAUAGCAGGCGAAUAGCAGGCGAAUAGCAGGCGAAUAGCAGGCGAAUAGCAGGCGAAUAGCAGGUCGAAUAGCAGGCGAAUAGCAGGCGAAUAGCAGGCGAAUAGCAGGUCGAAUAGCAGGCGAAUAGCAGGUCGAAUAGCGGGCGAAUAGCGGGCGAAU
Long non-coding RNA from Oncorhynchus keta (chum salmon), 347 nucleotides. RefSeq lists it as uncharacterized. The transcript is spliced from 4 exons. NCBI's taxonomy places the organism in Eukaryota, Metazoa, Chordata, Actinopteri, Salmoniformes, Salmonidae. The record is from RefSeq and is a predicted model, not a curated record.